Molecule: long non-coding RNA, 524 nt
Organism: Metopolophium dirhodum (rose-grain aphid)
Lineage: Eukaryota; Metazoa; Arthropoda; Insecta; Hemiptera; Aphididae
Exons: 3
Source: RefSeq, a predicted model, not a curated record
CCAGUUUUAAGUCUUAACGGCUAUAAUUGUAAAUUAUAAUUGUAACAAUGUCGGUUAAUAAAGUGAAAACCACAUACGAAUUAUUUAUACAAUCCAACCUCGUUAAUGGACGGCUACUAUUCUUCCGAAAAUUCUCUACGCCGUGCCCUAUGUAGAAUUAUGCCGCCAAAUUCCGCCAACAAGAAAUUUGUCAUGACUACCAUGACGCAUAAUAAUAUUGUUGUGAAAACUAUACUAUAAUAGUCUAGUCAGACACUGCCUGAUUUUGAUUGUAGUCCGCAGAUAUUUAGGUGCUAUUUACUCCACCCUUAGUGUUGACAAGUACGUCACGCCGUCACGAGAAUCUAGGUCAAAAUAUCAAAUACCAAAAAAUAUCACAAAAAAUUAGGAACAUAAAGGUGUACGUAAGUACGUAAAUACGUUAACAAUAUACCUAUGUUAUAAACGUAGGUAUAAAGACGUUUGAUUGUUUGAACAAGUUAGAUUUUUUUUUCAUGUGUGUUGAGGUUAUUAAACACCGACUA